AGAGUUUGAUUAUGGCUCAGGAUGAACGCUAGCGGCAGGCUUAACACAUGCAAGUCGAGGGGCAGCGGGAUGUAGCAAUACAUUGCCGGCGACCGGCGGAUGGGUGCGUAACGCGUAUGCAACCUACCUUAUACAGGGGAAUAACCUUUCGAAAGGGAGACUAACACCCCAUAGUAUUGAUUUAAGGCAUCUUAGAUUAAUUAAAUAUUUAUAGGUAUAAGAUGGGCAUGCGUAUGAUUAGCUAGUUGGUAAGGUAACGGCUUACCAAGGCGACGAUCAUUAGGGGUUCUGAGAGGAAGGUCCCCCACACUGGUACUGAGACACGGACCAGACUCCUACGGGAGGCAGCAGUGAGGAAUAUUGGUCAAUGGGCGCAAGCCUGAACCAGCCAUGCCGCGUGCAGGAAAGACGGCCUUAUGGGUUGUAAACUGCUUUUACAUAAGACUAACCGUAUAUUUGCGAAUAUACCUGAAUGUAUUAUGAGAAUAAGGAUCGGCUAACUCCGUGCCAGCCGCUGC
This 518-nucleotide ribosomal RNA is filed under the name uncultured bacterium. RNAcentral describes it as "bacterial SSU rRNA". It matches the Rfam family "Bacterial small subunit ribosomal RNA", at positions 8 to 518 of the family's 1533-position model. The record is from RNAcentral.